UGAUUUUCUUUAAUGCCCACUUUAAAAUAUCUGCUGCCAGAUCAUCGUUACUAGAGAAUGGUUUCUUUUUACUUUGUGGGUGGUAUGUGUAUCUUGCCUCUGCAUAGAGAAGAUUGAGCUACCUGGCUCCUUCUGUUAGAAGAACAACUUCCAGCAAGGCCCAGGGCCUACCAGGCAUGUUUCGUUGAGAAGUGUGGAGUCUAUGGCAUUUUCUGAGAAUCACUAUUAAAAUCCCCUCUGGCUGCUGCAGAUCGGGGUUUAGUAUCUCAUAUUUUGACAUUCACAGGGGAAAGCAAGCUUGGCCCCAAAGCUUCUCAGUUGACUCGUUGAGCACAGGAAACAGAAUUACUCUUGUUGUGAGGAAACAUGAAAAAAAGAAAAAACAAGGGACCCCCCCACCCAGGAGUUGAGGAUUUUUUUGAGACUCACCUCCCCAGGAGAACAGAAGUUAGCCACUGAAAGCAAAUAAUGAGUUACAAAAGGGCAAUGAUUGAAACCAUUUCAUCAAGGAACAGCCAGGGGAUGAGCUCGUGCACACACACACACACACACAUACACACACACAUAAACACACAAAAAACCACACACACAGAGUUUAGAUCUGAAAUGUGCCCCAAAGACUCAUUUGUUAAAAGUUUGGUCCCUGAUCCUAUUGGGAGAUGAUGAAAACAUUAAGGAAUGGGGCCUAGCAAAAGAAGUUUAGGUCAUUGAAGGUGUGAAAGUAUGACCUUGAAAGGGAUAUUGGGACCCUGGUCCCUUUUUCUUGCUCUUUUUCCCCCUCUACCAGGAGGUAAAUAGACCUCCUCCAUCAUGUACUGCACUCCUGCCAUGAGGUUUUGUGCUGUCAUAGGCUCAGAGCAUCAGGGCCAAUUGACCAUAGUCUGAAACCUCUGAAACCAUGAGUCAAGAUAAACCUUUCAUCCCUUUAAGUUGAUUAUUUCAGGUAUUUUGUCACAGUAAUGAGAAGCUAACUAAUAUACACGUAUUUAAUAGAAAUGAGAAGUGAUGAUAGGGGAUUGCAUUCAAUAAUUCAAUUCAAUAAACACUUUUGGAAACACCUUCUAUAUGCUAGAGACUGUGCAUCUGGCUCAGGGAAUAGGGAAAAAUAAAUGCAACUCUCUCUUCCUCCAUGAAGUAAAUUAAAAGUGGGCUGAAAGGAAUCACAAAGAAUUAGGUGGAAAAAAAUGCAGAUGGUGCAAACAUAUUGUAGAAGAGAAGGUGUGAAAAAGAGAGUCAAACCGAGGUAGGAGCUAGAGAUGAAUUGCAUAUAAUGAAGACCUCAGAGAACAACAGAAGCUAGAAGCGUGAUUCUUAAUAGUGAGAUGGCUGGGUCAGGUGGCAAGUUUCUGACCCCCACCCUGAUAUAUUUUACACAUUUUAACAAAGUCAGAUGUCUCUGUUCACAUAGCCAUGCAUGCAUAACGUCUUGCUGCAACUCUAAAUGGAACAGGAUGUGGAAGGACACACAUACACAAAGGAGUGGCCUAUUUGAGGUUCAAAAUCUCAAGUUCUGUCCCUUGGGGAAAAAGAAAUCAAGAACAUCCUCAUGUCCACUAGCUAUUCUGUGUUCUUGGGCACGAACCUCAUAUUGACAUUGCCAGUAAUUAGAGUUAGCUUGACAUGGAAAUUGUGUGUAUUUAUCAAGGACUGAACCGAAUAGAAUUUACUCUUUAGUACAUAGGCACGGUAGGUCACCCAUCUCCAUAAAACCCUGGUUUGCUUUGUGUGUAGAUUGUAGAGAUUUAAUUCUUAAUUGUGAGUUUCUUUACUUUGCAAGUUCCUUUUCUUAAUGUGAGGACCUUUUGCAUGUAGUUUCCAUAGACUAUUUUUAUCACAUAUUUACAUCCUUAGGAGUUACUUGUUAAAGAGGCAAUUAAAGUAAAUAGCGUAAUCAUGUGUUUAUAAGGCUUAAUUAUAGACCCUCAUAUAUAAU
Molecule: long non-coding RNA, 1933 nt
Filed under: Marmota monax (woodchuck)
Lineage: Eukaryota; Metazoa; Chordata; Mammalia; Rodentia; Sciuridae
Source: RNAcentral